This 2933-nucleotide ribosomal RNA is filed under the name Escherichia coli. RNAcentral's name for it is "bacterial LSU rRNA". It matches the Rfam family "Bacterial large subunit ribosomal RNA". The record is from RNAcentral. Lineage: Bacteria; Pseudomonadati; Pseudomonadota; Gammaproteobacteria; Enterobacterales; Enterobacteriaceae.
GGGUUGUGAGGUUAAGCGACUAAGCGUACACGGUGGAUGCCCUGGCAGUCAGAGGCGAUGAAGGACGUGCUAAUCUGCGAUAAGCGUCGGUGAGGUGAUAUGAACCGUUAUAACCGGCGAUUUCCGAAUGGGGAAACCCAGUGUGUUUCGACACACUAUCAUUAACUGAAUCCAUAGGUUAAUGAGGCGAACCGGGGGAACUGAAACAUCUAAGUACCCCGAGGAAAAGAAAUCAACCGAGAUUCCCCCAGUAGCGGCGAGCGAACGGGGAGGAGCCCAGAGCCUGAAUCAGUGUGUGUGUUAGUGGAAGCGUCUGGAAAGGCGCGCGAUACAGGGUGACAGCCCCGUACACAAAAAUGCACAUAUUGUGAGCUCGAUGAGUAGGGCGGGACACGUGGUAUCCUGUCUGAAUAUGGGGGGACCAUCCUCCAAGGCUAAAUACUCCUGACUGACCGAUAGUGAACCAGUACCGUGAGGGAAAGGCGAAAAGAACCCCGGCGAGGGGAGUGAAAAAGAACCUGAAACCGUGUACGUACAAGCAGUGGGAGCCUCUUAAUGGGGUGACUGCGUACCUUUUGUAUAAUGGGUCAGCGACUUAUAUUCUGUAGCAAGGUUAACCGAAUAGGGGAGCCGGAGGGAAACCGAGUCUUAACUGGGCGUUAAGUUGCAGGGUAUAGACCCGAAACCCGGUGAUCUAGCCAUGGGCAGGUUGAAGGUUGGGUAACACUAACUGGAGGACCGAACCGACUAAUGUUGAAAAAUUAGCGGAUGACUUGUGGCUGGGGGUGAAAGGCCAAUCAAACCGGGAGAUAGCUGGUUCUCCCCGAAAGCUAUUUAGGUAGCGCCUCGUGAAUUCAUCUCCGGGGGUAGAGCACUGUUUCGGCAAGGGGGUCAUCCCGACUUACCAACCCGAUGCAAACUGCGAAUACCGGAGAAUGUUAUCACGGGAGACACACGGCGGGUGCUAACGUCCGUCGUGAAGAGGGAAACAACCCAGACCGCCAGCUAAGGUCCCAAAGUCAUGGUUAAGUGGGAAACGAUGUGGGAAGGCCCAGACAGCCAGGAUGUUGGCUUAGAAGCAGCCAUCAUUUAAAGAAAGCGUAAUAGCUCACUGGUCGAGUCGGCCUGCGCGGAAGAUGUAACGGGGCUAAACCAUGCACCGAAGCUGCGGCAGCGACGCUUAUGCGUUGUUGGGUAGGGGAGCGUUCUGUAAGCCUGCGAAGGUGUGCUGUGAGGCAUGCUGGAGGUAUCAGAAGUGCGAAUGCUGACAUAAGUAACGAUAAAGCGGGUGAAAAGCCCGCUCGCCGGAAGACCAAGGGUUCCUGUCCAACGUUAAUCGGGGCAGGGUGAGUCGACCCCUAAGGCGAGGCCGAAAGGCGUAGUCGAUGGGAAACAGGUUAAUAUUCCUGUACUUGGUGUUACUGCGAAGGGGGGACGGAGAAGGCUAUGUUGGCCGGGCGACGGUUGUCCCGGUUUAAGCGUGUAGGCUGGUUUUCCAGGCAAAUCCGGAAAAUCAAGGCUGAGGCGUGAUGACGAGGCACUACGGUGCUGAAGCAACAAAUGCCCUGCUUCCAGGAAAAGCCUCUAAGCAUCAGGUAACAUCAAAUCGUACCCCAAACCGACACAGGUGGUCAGGUAGAGAAUACCAAGGCGCUUGAGAGAACUCGGGUGAAGGAACUAGGCAAAAUGGUGCCGUAACUUCGGGAGAAGGCACGCUGAUAUGUAGGUGAAGCGACUUGCUCGUGGAGCUGAAAUCAGUCGAAGAUACCAGCUGGCUGCAACUGUUUAUUAAAAACACAGCACUGUGCAAACACGAAAGUGGACGUAUACGGUGUGACGCCUGCCCGGUGCCGGAAGGUUAAUUGAUGGGGUUAGCGGUAACGCGAAGCUCUUGAUCGAAGCCCCGGUAAACGGCGGCCGUAACUAUAACGGUCCUAAGGUAGCGAAAUUCCUUGUCGGGUAAGUUCCGACCUGCACGAAUGGCGUAAUGAUGGCCAGGCUGUCUCCACCCGAGACUCAGUGAAAUUGAACUCGCUGUGAAGAUGCAGUGUACCCGCGGCAAGACGGAAAGACCCCGUGAACCUUUACUAUAGCUUGACACUGAACAUUGAGCCUUGAUGUGUAGGAUAGGUGGGAGGCUUUGAAGUGUGGACGCCAGUCUGCAUGGAGCCGACCUUGAAAUACCACCCUUUAAUGUUUGAUGUUCUAACGUUGGCCCCUGAUCGGGGUUGCGGACAGUGUCUGGUGGGUAGUUUGACUGGGGCGGUCUCCUCCUAAAGAGUAACGGAGGAGCACGAAGGUUGGCUAAUCCUGGUCGGACAUCAGGAGGUUAGUGCAAUGGCAUAAGCCAGCUUGACUGCGAGCGUGACGGCGCGAGCAGGUGCGAAAGCAGGUCAUAGUGAUCCGGUGGUUCUGAAUGGAAGGGCCAUCGCUCAACGGAUAAAAGGUACUCCGGGGAUAACAGGCUGAUACCGCCCAAGAGUUCAUAUCGACGGCGGUGUUUGGCACCUCGAUGUCGGCUCAUCACAUCCUGGGGCUGAAGUAGGUCCCAAGGGUAUGGCUGUUCGCCAUUUAAAGUGGUACGCGAGCUGGGUUUAGAACGUCGUGAGACAGUUCGGUCCCUAUCUGCCGUGGGCGCUGGAGAACUGAGGGGGGCUGCUCCUAGUACGAGAGGACCGGAGUGGACGCAUCACUGGUGUUCGGGUUGUCAUGCCAAUGGCACUGCCCGGUAGCUAAAUGCGGAAGAGAUAAGUGCUGAAAGCAUCUAAGCACGAAACUUGCCCCGAGAUGAGUUCUCCCUGAGACUUUAAGUCUCCUGAAGGAACGUUGAAGACGACGACGUUGAUAGGCCGGGUGUGUAAGCGCAGCGAUGCGUUGAGCUAACCGGUACUAAUGAACCGUGAGGCGUAACCUUACAACGCCGAAGAUGGUUU